Molecule: ribosomal RNA, 496 nt
Filed under: uncultured Brevundimonas sp.
Lineage: Bacteria; Pseudomonadati; Pseudomonadota; Alphaproteobacteria; Caulobacterales; Caulobacteraceae
Description: bacterial SSU rRNA
Rfam family: Bacterial small subunit ribosomal RNA
Source: RNAcentral
UAGAGUUUGAUCAUGGCUCAGAGCGAACGCUGGCGGCAGGCCUAACACAUGCAAGUCGAACGAACUCUUCGGAGUUAGUGGCGGACGGGUGAGUAACACGUGGGAACAUGCCUUUAGGUUCGGAAUAACUCAGGGAAACUUGUGCUAAUACCGAAUGUGCCCUUCGGGGGAAAGAUUUAUCGCCUUUAGAGCGGCCCGCGUCUGGUUAGCUAGUUGGUAGUGUAAUGGACUACCAAGGCGACGAUCAGUAGCUGGUCUGAGAGGAUGAUCAGCCACAUUGGGACUGAGACACGGCCCAAACUCCUACGGGAGGCAGCAGUGGGGAAUAUUGGACAAUGGGCGCAAGCCUGAUCCAGCCAUACCGCGUGGGUGAAGAAGGCCUUCGGGUUGUAAAGCCCUUUUGUUGGGAAAGAAAAGCAGCCGGUUAAUACCCGGUUGUUCUGACGGUACCCAAAGAAUAAGCACCGGCUAACUUCGUGCCAGCAGCCGCGGUAAU